CAACGAUAAAGGGGGUGAGAAACCCCCUCGCCGAAAGACUAAGGUUUCCUGAUCAACGCUAAUCGGAUCAGGGUUAGUCGGGUCCUAAGGCUCAGCCGAACGGUGAGGCCGAUGGCAGAACAGGUUAAUAUUCCUGUACUACCUUAAAGAGUGACGUGGAGACGGAGGCGUGACAGUGCCGCGGACUGACGGAAUAGUCCGUUGAAGGGUGUAGAUGUUGAUCGGGGUAGGCAAAUCCGCUCCGAGAGUCGAACCUGAUAGUAUGGAGCGUUCUUCGGAACAAUCCAAUAGUGCAUGUAAACAUACUCCCAAGAAAAUCCGCUAAACUUAAUCUUUAAGGUACCCGUACCGCAAACGGACACACGUAGUCGGGUUGAAUAUACUAAGGCGCUUGAGUGAUUCACGGUUAAGGAACUAGGCAAAUUGACCCUGUAACUUCGGGAUAAAGGGUCCCCACUGUAAGGUGGGGCGCAGAGAAUCGGUCCAGGCAACUGUUUAACAAAAACACAGGGCUGUGCAAAAUUGAAAGAUGAAGUAUACAGCCUGACACCUGCCCGGUGCUGGAAGGUUAAGAGGAGAUGUCAUCGCAAGAGAAGCAUUGAAUUGAAGCCCCAGUAAACGGCGGCCGUAACAAUAACGGUCCUAAGGUAGCGAAAUUCCUUGUCGGGUAAGUUCCGACCUGCACGAAUGGUGUAAUGAUCUGGACACUGUCUCAACCGUGAGCUCAGUGAAAUUGUAGUAUCGGUGAAGAUGCCGAUUACCCGCGAUGGGACGAAAAGACCCCGUGAACCUUUACUAUAGCUUAACAUUGAAUUUGGGUAAUUGAUGUGUAGGAUAGGCCGGAGGCUUUGAAGCAGGUACGCCAGUAUUUGUGGAGCCGCUGUUGAAAUACGGCCCUUUGGUUAUUUGAGUUCUAACUCGUGAUACGAGGACACUGUUUGGUGGGUAGUUUGACUGGGGUGGUCGCCUCCAAAAACGUAACGGAGGCUUCUAAAGGUGCCCUCACGACGAUUGGUAACCGUCGGCAGAGUGUAAUGGCAUAAGGGCGCUUGACUGGGAGACUAACAAGUCGAUCAGGUAGGAAACUAGAGCAUAGUGAUCCGGUGUUUCUGUAUGGAAAGGACAUCGCUCAAAGGAUAAAAGGUACUCCGGGGAUAACAGGCUGAUCCCUCCCAAGAGCUCAUAUCGACGGAGGGGUUUGGCACCUCGAUGUCGGCUCGUCACAUCCUGGGGCUGGAGAAGGUCCCAAGGGUUGGGCUGUUCGCCCAUUAAAGUGGCACGCGAGCUGGGUUCAGAACGUCGUGAGACAGUUCGGUCUCUAUCUAUCGUGGGCGUAUGAAAUUUGCGUGGCUCUGACACUAGUACGAGAGGACCGUGUUGGACUGACCUCUGGUUUACCAGUUGUGCCGCCAGGUGCAUUGCUGGGUAUCUAAGUCGGGAUUGGAUAAGUGCUGAAAGCAUCUAAGUACGAAGCCAGCCACAAGAUUAGAUUUCUUAGGGUCGUCAAAGACGAUGACGUUGAUAGGAUGCAGGUGUACAGGUGGUAACAUCAUAGCCGAGCAUUACUAAUUGCCU
RNAcentral lists this ribosomal RNA (1575 nucleotides) under metagenome. RNAcentral describes it as "bacterial LSU rRNA". It matches the Rfam family "Bacterial large subunit ribosomal RNA", at positions 1307 to 2911 of the family's 2925-position model. The record is from RNAcentral.